GUGUGUGUGUGUGUGUGUGUGUGUGUGUGUGUGUGUGUGUGUGUGUGUGUGUGUGUGGGACAAAAUACAUUUCCUAACGCAUAAUAGUCAUGUUGGAGCUGCAUAGAUCCGUAUAAAUGUGUCAGAUUGUGUGGGAUAGCACUAGUUGGUCCCUGGAGACUGCUGUCUGGUUGGAGAGUCACCUGCUCCCCUCCAUGGAGACAGACCAGCAUGAUCAACAGUCGGCUGGAGGGAGUUGGUGGUUACGGUUACAGAAGUCAUCAAAAGAGAGCGCCUGGGGAAUAGGAGUGGCGCUAGGCACUGCAGGUCCUGGAUUCAUCUCUACAUCACCAGAGGAACAGAGGAGGAGUUGGUGGUUGACCCAUCAGAGGAGUUUUAUUAUGGAUGGCUACAGGUCAUGACCUUUCCCAUCUUCUACAUCUGGGUUCUCUUCAUCUGCAUAUGCUUACAUCAAAUGUAGCCUAUGGCUGGCCGGUUAUCCAUUCCAAGGUGUUCGCUUCGUGUCAAUGUACUGUUUCUCUGUUCUUGACUUCUGUUGUUUAUUUUUUGUGUUUUUCUUCUUUGUGUAAAACAUGUUGAGACCUUGUGCACAUGAAAUAAAUUGUGUUUUGAUUGGAAAGAUAAUAAACAGAACAAUAAAUA
Oncorhynchus nerka (sockeye salmon) is the source of this 642-nucleotide long non-coding RNA. RefSeq lists it as uncharacterized. Lineage: Eukaryota; Metazoa; Chordata; Actinopteri; Salmoniformes; Salmonidae. The transcript is spliced from 3 exons. The record is from RefSeq and is a predicted model, not a curated record.